Molecule: unclassified non-coding RNA, 100 nt
Organism: Aotus nancymaae (Ma's night monkey)
Lineage: Eukaryota; Metazoa; Chordata; Mammalia; Primates; Aotidae
Rfam family: Y RNA
About the family: Y RNAs are components of the Ro ribonucleoprotein particle (Ro RNP), in association with Ro60 and La proteins. The Y RNAs and Ro60 and La proteins are well conserved, but the function of the Ro RNP is not known.
Source: Ensembl
GGCUGCUCUGAAGUUAGUGAUUUAUCUCAAUUGAUUGUUCACAGUCAGUUACAGAUCAAACUCUUUCUCUCUUCUUACUACUGGACUUAAAUAGUCCUAA